This is a long non-coding RNA of Parus major (Great Tit), 1913 nucleotides long. RefSeq lists it as uncharacterized. The transcript has 3 exons. Lineage: Eukaryota; Metazoa; Chordata; Aves; Passeriformes; Paridae. The record is from RefSeq and is a predicted model, not a curated record.
AGAACUGUUCCCUGUGCAGGAUGAUGCAGACACACGAUUGCUGAGAUUGCACUGGCUAAAACCACAUGGAGAAGUAACACCACCAUCUCUACUGCAUUUUGCACUGCAACGUCAGAAGGCUGAAAACCAGCAUCUCAUCUUCAUAAUCAAGGACUUCUCUAUACACGUGUGCUAACAGUCCAAUAACCACCACACUGGAAACUCUACUGGCUUUCCAGGUUUUUAUUACACUGCAAAUUUCCCAGCCAGAAUUGUGCAAAACAUACGAAGUUAUCUCCUGGGCAGCAUGAGCUGAAGUCUCCAGAAAUGCUACAAGCUUCUUCCAGCCAGCCUGUUACUGAAAGGCCACCAAUGCAGUGAGAAACCCUCUCGAGACUGUCUUUCCCAGAAGAAAAAUGCCGAUGAAAUGAAUCCUUCCAAGGAGCAGCUGCACUUGAGUUCAUCCCUGCUGAUUCACUGAAACUCAGAGGCAUUUCCUUGCCAACAGAAGACAGAGGUAUAGUAUUAUAGAGAGAACAAUUCCUGGUGUUAUAUAAUUCUUGUAAACUGCUAUUAUGAUUUUGAGAACUGUCCAACAUGGAAUGCACGUGUGUCACAUAAGCUGCUGGCUUGUGAUGAUCUGGGCCAUUGUCAAAUACUUGCUUCUGGGUAAAAUCUUCUUUCUUCAUAGUCCUAGAGCACACGAGCACAGCUUUGCUGCUUCACAACAGGCUGGUUUUGAAGAAGAGUGUGAGUGACUCUAGUUGCAGCAUACAGGGGAAGUGGCAUACCAAGUCACAAGUCAAUGGAUCUCAAUAUGGACCUAAAAAGAAAGAAUACAUGAAGUUAUUACACUGAUAACCAAGCUUCCUGGUUUCCAGUGUAUUGCACCAAAAAUAAUUUAAAAUCUUUCACAUAAAGAACAACCCAGCUACAGAAAGUAACAGUUGUCCCAACACACAAGUCUCCCUACAGGCUGCCUGAGCACAUCCAGAGGGGUAGGAAGCAUGCCCAAAUACCAGCUGCCCUUCUGUAGCUUCAAUUUAAUCUGCUACAAGCUCUCUUUUGGUGACAGGCAUGAAAGUGAGUCAGCAAACGAGCAGCCAGAGGGAUUUGCUGUAUAACAGAAGCGUUUCCCUUAACCAAUAGAAAAGCAGGCUGGGACUGAUUAGAGGCUUAGCAUUAAAGUAAUCCUUCUGUAAACAGAAGUGCAAACUGAAAUCAGACACACAACACUGGGUAUCAACAAUGUACCACAAACAGCUUCCCAGGGGGAACUGGUCAGACUGGCUGCCCCAGCACAGUUAGCAGGUAUCAGCUGUAGCACAAAGGACAAGCUGGUGGUGUUCCAGGAGAACCAUUCCGUACCAACACUGAUAACGAGCAAAGACAAGGCUUUUUUAGCUACCAAGGUUACUAAACUAUGUGUACAACUCCUGGGCAUCUGACUCAUUUUCAAGCUUCAGAAUUGUAGGGCAAAUCCCAAAAACAAAAAUAGGAGACGCCACAUUUUGACCGCUUCCAAUUUCAGAUUCUCUUUUACAAGUGACAAACUCCAACCAGACUUGUCUUUCAACACUUGGCCACUGGACAGAUAUUAAAACUUUCAUUACAGCUAUGUUUACAAGAAGAAAGUGUGUCCAAUCCUUGGCUAGAACAGAUGUUUGUAGUGACAGGGCACAGCCUGCUUCUGCUGCCAGUUAAGUUAAAAGUAAAUCUUUCACUUCUUCACAAAAACAAUGAAACUUCAACCCUACAACAGCUCAAAUCUGUGUUAAGAAUUCCACGUUUUGUAGAAACGGGCUCAAAACAGGAGAGAUACAAAUUACAUGUUAAUCAUCUUUUUCAUGCAGUAACAUUGGUAUUUAAAACUGUAUUUGCCGUGCUGCAACUGUUCUUGAUUUCAAAAACCCCCAAUAAACCGAUGAAGGAAA